RNAcentral lists this long non-coding RNA (910 nucleotides) under Sander lucioperca (pikeperch). RNAcentral's name for it is "lncRNA (ENSSLUG00000011025.1)". The record is from RNAcentral. Lineage: Eukaryota; Metazoa; Chordata; Actinopteri; Perciformes; Percidae.
CUCCUCUACCCGGACACUCCUGCUAAGAUGGAGACCACAUCACAAGAAGCUUUCUGCUUCAGACCCGUCUCACAACAUGACAGAGGCAAAGGAGACCAUAUUGCCCUGAACACACAGCAGGAGUCCCUCCGUUCUCAUCCCACAUCCUCGAGACAAACAGGAAGAGAAAACAGCAGCAGGGGCCGGAAACCAGGGGAGGACGAUCAAGAAGGCAACCAUGAUCAGACAGCAGGGACAAACGAACGAGAUACGACAAAGAUGCAGUCUCAGUAUCAGAAGGAUUUCCCUCCUCCGUCCUCCUGCUGCAGAAGGCGAACACCUGCCCUCCCACAGCCAGACAACAUCGGCAUCAACCCUGCCUUUAGGUGAGAGUGAGUUCAUCGAUAUCAGUCUAGCUGAAUGUAGAGAGCAGUUUAUCAGUAUCCGUGUGUUUUGGUUCACAGGAUCGACUUUAGCACAGUGCAAAGAGAGAAUUACCCUGGUUGGCCCAUCAUGAGUCCCAUGUGUGCAGGGAGGCUGAGAGCGGCCUCGUCCGGGAAACCAAACAUGAAAAAAUAAAUAAAAGAAUGUAAAAAAUAAAGUCAUGUUCAAAUUUUUUACCAAUUGCAGCAAAUGUCUAAUUCCAUCAAAUGGCUAUCGAUCCCUAUAAAUCCUAGCUUGUUAUAUUCAUAGUGCACACAGUAAUAAACAUGAUUUUAUAAACCAGUGUGGGCUUUUGGGUUAUGUGUGUCAGUCUUUGAAUCACUUCUACAUUCUUCUUAUAAAUAACACUAACAUUUUUGAUCUAACUCCUCAGUUUAGACAUAAGUGAAAUCGAAGUCAGAGGUGUUGAGUUCUCCUUCACUAACCACAUCCAGCACAUUGUGUGCCUGUCUGGAAAUAUAUACUUUCUUCAAAAUGUGCUAAGGUG